This 253-nucleotide ribosomal RNA is filed under the name uncultured microorganism. RNAcentral's name for it is "partial 16S ribosomal RNA". It matches the Rfam family "Bacterial small subunit ribosomal RNA", at positions 524 to 776 of the family's 1533-position model. The record is from RNAcentral.
UACGGAGGGGGCGAGCGUUAUUCGGAAUUACUGGGCGUAAAGCGCGCGUAGGUGGCUUGAUAAGCCGGUUGUGAAAGCCCCGGGCUCAACCUGGGAACGGCAUCCGGAACUGUCAGGCUAGAGUGCAGGAGAGGAAGGUAGAAUUCCCGGUGUAGCGGUGAAAUGCGUAGAGAUCGGGAGGAAUACCAGUGGCGAAGGCGGCCUUCUGGACUGACACUGACACUGAGGUGCGAAAGCGUGGGUAGCAAACAGG